AGUGAACGCUGGCGGUAGGCCUAACACAUGCAAGUCGAACGGCAGCACAGUAAGAGCUUGCUCUUACGGGUGGCGAGUGGCGGACGGGUGAGGAAUACAUCGGAAUCUACUUUUUCGUGGGGGAUAACGUAGGGAAACUUACGCUAAUACCGCAUACGACCUACGGGUGAAAGCAGGGGAUCUUCGGACCUUGCGCGAUUGAAUGAGCCGAUGUCGGAUUAGCUAGUUGGCGGGGUAAAGGCCCACCAAGGCGACGAUCCGUAGCUGGUCUGAGAGGAUGAUCAGCCACACUGGAACUGAGACACGGUCCAGACUCCUACGGGGGGCAGCAGUGGGGAAUAUUGGACAAUGGGCGCAAGCCUGAUCCAGCCAUACCGCGUGGGUGAAGAAGGCCUUCGGGUUGUAAAGCCCUUUUGUUGGGAAAGAAAAGCAGCGGGUUAAUACCCCGCUGUUCUGACGGUACCCAAAGAAUAAGCACCGGCUAACUUCGUG
RNAcentral lists this ribosomal RNA (492 nucleotides) under uncultured bacterium. RNAcentral describes it as "partial 16S ribosomal RNA". It matches the Rfam family "Bacterial small subunit ribosomal RNA", at positions 29 to 507 of the family's 1533-position model. The record is from RNAcentral.